GUGUUAGAGAAUUAGCAUCAGAAUUGGCCUCAAAGAAUUAGAAUUGAUGUGAUAGAAUUAGAAUAGGUGUUAGAGAAUUAGCAUCAGAAUUGGCCUCAAAGAAUUAGAAUUGGUGUGAUAGAAUUAGAAUAGGUGUGAGAGAAUUAGCAUCAGAAUUGGCCUCAAAGAAUUAGAAUAGGUGUGAUAGAAUUAGAAUAGGUGUUAGAGAAUUAGCAUCAGAAUUGGCCUCAAAGAAUUAGAAUUGGUGUGAUAGAAUUAGAAUAGGUGUUAGAGAAUUAUCAUUAGAAUUGGCCUCAAAGAAUUAGAAUUGGUGUGAUAGAAUUAUAAUAGGUGUUAGAGAAUUAUCAUUAGAAUUGGCCUCAAAGAAUUAGAAUUGGUGUGAUAGAAUUAGAAUACGUGUUAGAGAAUUAGCAUUAGAAUCGCCCUGACAGAAUUAGAUUAUGCUCCAAAAAUUUAUACAUAGCGAGAAUACAUUUGCAAACUCAUCAUAAACUCACUCGAAAUUGACAUCACUAAGAUUCUUCCCUAAUGCUGCAGUGUUUUAUGGGGGGCUAAAAAAGAACCUCCAACAGAGAAAAGGAAAGUCUGAACGCUUCCUCGGGUUGGGCGCUUAGCUGGAUAUGUAAUUGAGGAUUCUUGGAUGAAAAGCUCGGGAGAAUGAUGCAAAAAACACACACUCCCAGAGCACCAAAAACAAGCAUUACCAUUACGUUCAUUAUACAAUUACCUUAUAUGGAGGGUUUUGAGGGCAGUUAUUGCACGCACACACACACACACGCACUUACAUACACGCCCACUCACACACACACAGGGAAGAUUUAGUGGUACAUGACAAGACUGUGACGAGAGGGAAUAGUAAGAAACUGAAGAAGAGCGACUGUAGGAGAGGCGUUAAGAAAUACAGUUUUCCAUGCAGAAGCACACACACACACACACACACGCCCACGCACACACACACACGCACGCACACACUUCUUCUUCCCACCCACAAUACAAAACUUCCCUUCCGAGAUCUCGUACAAAUACCAUAGCUGACAAAUCAUUUAAAUAUUACGAGGAAAAAAAAGUUAAACUAUUAAAAGAUAUCAACAGAGUCUAACACAGAUGUGAUCACAGUUGGAAAAAUUCUUAGUUAACAUUAAAAAAAGGUUGUUAUUGUGGUUACUGUUAUUUUAAGUUAUUGAUAAUUAUUGCUUGGGUAUUGAGGAAAAAACUGUCUUCAGGAGAAAUGCCGAGUGACAGUUAAUAGGAAAAACUCUCGUAAAAUAAAUAAGAAAAUGGAAAAAUAUGGGGUCAGGCUGGGAGGUGAUAGGCUGAUGGGUCAGGCUAGGGUAGGUUAGGUUAGGUAAGGUUGGGUAGGUCAGGUGUAGGUUCGGUUAGGCUAGGUUAGGUUAAGUCAGGUUAGGUUAAGGUUGAGUAGGUUAGGUAAGGUUGGGAUGGGUAGGUUAGGUUAGGUAAGGCUUGGUAGGGCAGGUUAUUUAGGUAAGGUUGGGUAGGUUAGGUUAGGUUAGGUAAGGUUGGGUGUAGGUUAGAUUAGGUAAGGUUGGAUGUAGGUUAGGUUAGGUAAGGUUGGGUAGGUUAGGUAUGGUUGGGUGUACGGUAGGUUAGGUAAGGUUGGGUAGGUUAGGUUAGGUAAGGUUGUGUAGGUUAGGUUAGGUAAGGUUGUGUAGGUUAGGUUAGGUAAGGUUGUGUAGGUUAGGUUAGGUAAGGUUGUGUAGGUUAGGUUAGGUAAGGUUGUGUAGGUUAGGUUAGGUAAGGUUGGGUGUCCGGUAGGUUAGGUAAGGUUGGGUAGGUUAGGUUAGGUAAGGUUGGAUGUAGGUUAGGUUAGGUAAGGUUGGGCUAGGUAGGAUAGAGUAGGUUAGGUAAGGUUGGGUAGGGUAGGUUAGGUUAGGCUAAAUAAGAUUGGGUGUAGGUUAGGUUAGGUUAGUUAAGUACAGCUCCAUUACUACUUUCCCCUUAUAUAUACACUCCUCCUCAUUGCUAGUAAAAGGAUGAUUGUAAAAUAUCAAAGACAGAAAUGAUUAAGCACUGCACCAUUCCUCUUAGCAUCCUCCUCCUCCUCUUCCUUAUUCACAGGCAGUCCUCGCUAUGUAUAUUUCCGACGGACGCGCACACUUGCUUUACCAUAUAUUAUCUUAUGUAUGUUAUCUCACCAAAAGCUUAACGUCAGUUCGGAAGGAUUAAGCAC
Molecule: long non-coding RNA, 2188 nt
Organism: Eriocheir sinensis (Chinese mitten crab)
Lineage: Eukaryota; Metazoa; Arthropoda; Malacostraca; Decapoda; Varunidae
Exons: 3
Source: RefSeq, a predicted model, not a curated record